GACGAACGCUGGCGGCGUGCUUAACACAUGCAAGUCGAACGCUGAAGCUCAGCUUUUGUUGGGUGGAUGAGUGGCGAACGGGUGAGUAACACGUGAGUAACCUGCCCCCUUCUUUGGGAUAACGCCCGGAAACGGGUGCUAAUACUGGAUAUUCACUGGUCUUCGCAUGGGGGUUGGUGGAAAGGGUUUUUCUGGUGGGGGACGGGCUCGCGGCCUAUCAGCUUGUUGGUGGGGUGAUGGCCUACCAAGGCUUUGACGGGUAGCCGGCCUGAGAGGGUGACCGGUCACAUUGGGACUGAGAUACGGCCCAGACUCCUACGGGAGGCAGCAGUGGGGAAUAUUGCACAAUGGGCGCAAGCCUGAUGCAGCGACGCCGCGUGAGGGAUGGAGGCCUUCGGGUUGUGAACCUCUUUCGCUCAUGGUCAAGCCGCAACAAUGGUUGUGGUGAGGGUAGUGGGUAAAGAAGCGCCGGCUAACUACGUG
RNAcentral lists this ribosomal RNA (483 nucleotides) under uncultured bacterium. RNAcentral's name for it is "partial 16S ribosomal RNA". It matches the Rfam family "Bacterial small subunit ribosomal RNA", at positions 28 to 507 of the family's 1533-position model. The record is from RNAcentral.